Non-coding RNA from Acanthosepion pharaonis, 80 nucleotides. The record is from the annotation of a GenBank genome assembly. NCBI's taxonomy places the organism in Eukaryota, Metazoa, Mollusca, Cephalopoda, Sepiida, Sepiidae.
UAGAAUCACCGAAGUUAAGCAACGUCGAGCCUGGUCAGUAUCUAGAUGGGUGACUGCUUGGGAAUACCAGGUGCUGUAAG